Molecule: long non-coding RNA, 3839 nt
Filed under: Homo sapiens (human)
Lineage: Eukaryota; Metazoa; Chordata; Mammalia; Primates; Hominidae
Description: HSALNT0100997
Source: RNAcentral
CCGGGGAGCAGUCGAGGCUUGUGUUCUUCAGCGGACUUGCCAAAUCAUCCCCUCCAGCAUGCUGCUCUCUCCCUUCCACAGAUCAUCUGUUAAGAAAAUACAUUUUUCAUGUCGUUAAUUUACAUAUACAUGUGCAUUAUAUAUAUGUUUAUACAAUGAGAGAUUGUUAGGAAAAUCACUACCACAUAUACAUGCAUUAUAUAUAUUACAUAUACAUACAUAUGCAUUAUAUAUAUACCUGCACACACAUGCAUAUGGAAAAUUGUUAGGAAAAACAGCACAGUGGUAGUGUUAGUGCUGGUUGUCUUUCGGUGGUGAGAUUAUACAUUUUUUUCUAUAAUUUUCUGUAUUUUCCUAAUUUUCUGUGAUCCAUAUAUGUUUUUAAUCAUCAAAAGAUGUUGAAAUUUAAACCAUGUUCUACGUACAUUUUACAUCCCCAUUUAAAGCUUUCUCAUGGUUCUCCAUGGCCUGCAGGAUGAUGCUUGAUGUUCAGCUUAAGAGCUUCCUCUCCUCACUUCCCACCCCUCUGUCACUUGUAGCUCAUGCCCUAAUAAUACCAGAGUGUUUCCUGUGCACACCCAGCUGAUUCACGUCUCUUUGUCUUUGCUCACAUGUCUACCUCCACCUGGAAGAUAAUUUCCCUUCCCCUGGCGACCUUCACACCACCCUUCUCUCCUCAGAGCAGGCACAGCUGCCCAGGAAACAUUUCUGGUUGAGCCUUCCAUGGGCCCUAACUGCAUUUUACCCUGAAGAUGAAAUGAUCUGUGCUUCUGUCUACCCUCCUUUCUGGACGGUUUUUGCAAUCUCCAGGAACGCCAGGCCACAUGAUUGAAACAGUUGUUCAAUUUUUCUUGCUGAAGAUGGUGAACUGGGUUAAGUUUAGAAACAACCAUAGCUGGAAAAAGUAUGACUUUGUUAGCUGCUUACUUCCUUUUCAGAGAAAAAAUACUUUUCUAGUUUCUUUCUUUAGUUACAAAAAUAAUAUGUGCUAAUUAUAACAAGCCAAUCAAUGGAGAGGCCUGCGGAUAUGAAGUUCAUAGUCAUUCAUUCACUCUUCUGCAGAGUGGCUCCCCAAGGCAGCCAACAUUGACAAGCAGGCUUGUGUGUUUCCACACUGUCUCUUGAGCGAGGCUUAUUUAGUCUACACUUGCCUCCUUUAAAGCUGUUCACAAGCAGAUGAGGAUCAAUCUCGGAUUCUAGAAGGAAGAACCCAGCCCCUACUGUUAGAAGGAGCAGUGAAGGCGGCAGGUCAAAGCACAGCCUGGAGCCGACUGUCUGUGUCCAAAUCCCACUUCACCACUUGCUGCAUAACUGGAGCAGAUGAUUCAGCUUUUCUCUGCCUUAACUGACUCAUGUAAAUGGGGAUAUUAAAAUAUCACAUAUGGAUUAUUAUAUUGACUAGGAAGUUAAUGCAAUACAGCAUGCAUAGCAGUUAGUAAGCACUCAAUAAAUGGUAGAUAUUAUUAUUUUCUCUCUUGUGGGAGCAACAAAAGUGAAAAGAAUGACCCUUUGGUAACUGGGGAUCUGAGUAUACACAGACUGUACCAAUCAUAACCACAAUCACCAAAAAAACUACAUUUGUGGAGGCUUAGUGUUAACACAGUCCCAAAACACUUCAUCUAUUGAUUCCCUUAUAUGGCUAGAAUUUAACAUUAAUUCUUUUUUCAUUUUUCAGGAAUAAUAAAGAACAUCAAUAAAAUUAUAGGCAUAAUUUUUAAACAAUUUUAUUGAAGAAUAAUUAUAUGUAAUAAAAUUCACUGGCCGGGUGCAGUGGCUCAUGCCUGUAAUCUCACCACUUUGGGAGGCCAAGGCGGGGGGAUUACUUGAGGCCAAAGUUUAAGACCAGCUUGGGCAAAAAAGCAAAAGCCUGUCUUUACUCUCUCUCUCUCUCUCUCUCUCCAUAUAUAUAUAUAUAUAUAUAUAUAUAUAUAUAUAUAUAUAUAUAUUUUUUUUUUUUUUUUUUUUUUUUUUUUUUAAAUAGCCAGGUGUAGUGGUGUGCGCCUCAAGUCCCAGCUACUUUCAAGGGGCUGAGGUAAGAGGAUUGCUUGAGCCCAGUAGUUGCAGGCUGCAAUGAGCUAUGAUCCCACCACUGUACUCCAGCCUGGGUGACAGAGUGAGACCUUGUCUCUAAAAAUAAAUAAAUAAGUAAAUACAAAUUUUUAAAAAUAAAAAUUCAUCCAUUUUAAGAAUACAAUUAAAUAAGUUUUAGUAAAUUUACCAAGCUGUGCAACCAUCACCACAACCCAGUUUCAGAACAUUUACAUCACCCUUGGAAGCUCCCUCAUGCCUGUUUACAGUUAACCCCAGUUCCUAUCCCCAGCUCUGGGCACCAUUAAUCUACUACUCUCUGUCUCUAUGACUUUGCUUUUUCUGGACACUUCAUAUAAAUGGAUUAUGCAGUAUGUGGCCUUUUGUAUCUGACUUAUUUCGUUAACAUAAUGUUUUAAAGAUCCAUCUACACUGAAGUACGUAUCAGUAUGUGUUCCUUUGUACUGAGGAACUGUAUUCCACUGUAUGGAUAUACCACAGUUUGUUCAUCCAUUCGACAAUGGAUGGACAGUUGGUUGUGUCCACUUUUUAGCUAUUAUGAAUAAUGUCACUAUGAACAUUUGUGUACAAGUUUUUGGGUGGACUUACGUUUUUAUUUCUCUUGGGUAGAUACAUAGAAGUGAAUAUAGUACAUUUAUAUUUAACUUUUUGAAACUAUUAAACUGUUUUCUACAGUGAUCGCACCAUUUUAUAUUCCCACCAGCAAUGUGUGAAGGUUCUACAGGUCUAAACUUAAAGGUCAAAAUAGAAAGAAGAUCUAAAAAUACAUGAAUUCAAGUGCUGAAUGUCCGUUCUCUGACACUGGUUAUCUUCUAAACUCCCCUUUAAUGAAAGGACAGGGAGAAUCCUUCCCCUGCCUUCCCCAGAUUCUCAUUUCCCAUAUUUUGCUGUUUGGCUAAGUGGGGGCUCCCUCACCUCAUUUAGUCCUGCUAAUUCAGGGAAAGCAACCCUGUGCUCCUCCACUCCUAGCAACCCUAAGAGGCUAUCUAAAGUGGAAAGAACAUUUUACAAAUGCAAAUUCAGUCCUUGGGUAUGGCAAGAGAAGAGUUAAUGCAGUUUGUAAUAAUUAUUGACUACAAGAACUGCAAAUGAUUGCAUAAAAUUUCUAAAAUAUGCCUGCAAGGUUCUCUUAUUGAUGUGUUGCCCCCAGGGGUACACAUAUGGGUUUAAGUGUCUAAACUGUUUUAUUAAUUAAAUUGCUAUGAUUUACCUCUCCCAUGUUAGCAUUUACAGUUUAUGAAACAGCCCUGUAAUUAGAAAAUGAUGUACUAGUGUUGCUUGUUUACUUUGUGGGUGAAAUAUUAUACACACACAGAUGUGUAUGUGUAUAUAUAUACACUCACUUAUAUAUGUUUAUAGACACACACAUGUGCACGCGCGCACACACACACACAAAGUGUUUUUUCUUGGGUCAACCCUCAUAGGCUACUUUAUUUCUAGUCCAAUUAAUAGGCAACCUCCAGUGGUGCAUUAAAUUGGUUUUUAGCGGGAGGGGGAGGAUAACUGAGAAGUUCAUUGUUCCUGCUGAGGUGUGUCAUGGCAUCCAUGUAUGUUUGUUUAUUUUCCCUCCAUAGACAGACAAUUGAAAUCACAAGAAUUUAUUGUAAAAAAAAAAAUCUGUUGAGAACAGCCCUGAGGAUACUUCAGCAAAUCCUAAAACUGUACCUACUUUAAUUAUACAGCAUCUUAUUAUCUUCUGCGUCCAUUCUGAAGGUAUAUGUAGGAAUAUAUAAUAUAAAUUACCUGUGCUACAUAGACAAUGCCUAAAUAAAGUUGUUGUUGAAGUGCUU